Molecule: transfer RNA, 72 nt
Filed under: Veillonellaceae bacterium DNF00626
Lineage: Bacteria; Bacillati; Bacillota; Negativicutes; Veillonellales; Veillonellaceae
Rfam family: tRNA
About the family: Transfer RNA (tRNA) molecules are approximately 80 nucleotides in length.
Source: Rfam by way of RNAcentral
GCGCCUAUAGCUCAGCGGAUAGAGCACUGGUCUCCGGAACCAGAGGCGAGGGUUCGAUUCCCUCUAGGCGCU